RNAcentral lists this ribosomal RNA (446 nucleotides) under uncultured bacterium. RNAcentral describes it as "bacterial SSU rRNA". It matches the Rfam family "Bacterial small subunit ribosomal RNA", at positions 329 to 792 of the family's 1533-position model. The record is from RNAcentral.
ACCCAGACUCCUACGGGAGGCAGCAGUGGGGAAUAUUGCACAAUGGGGGAAACCCUGAUGCAGCGACGCCGCGUGAGCGAUGAAGUAUUUCGGUAUGUAAAGCUCUAUCAGCAGGGAAGAAAAUGACGGUACCUGACUAAGAAGCCCCGGCUAACCACGUGCCAGCAGCCGCGGUAAUACGUAGGGGGCAAGCGUUAUCCGGAUUUACUGGGUGUAAAGGGAGCGUAGACGGCUGUGCAAGCCAGAUGUGAAAGCCCGGGGCUCAACCCCGGGACUGCAUUUGGAACUGUGUGGCUGGAGUGUCGGAGAGGCAGGCGGAAUUCCUAGUGUAGCGGUGAAAUGCGUAGAUAUUAGGAGGAACACCAGUGGCGAAGGCGGCUUACUGGACUGUAACUGACGUUGAGGCUCGAAAGCGUGGGGAGCAAACAGGAUUAGAUACCCCAGUA